Long non-coding RNA from Acanthopagrus latus (yellowfin seabream), 843 nucleotides. RefSeq lists it as uncharacterized. The record is from RefSeq and is a predicted model, not a curated record. The transcript has 3 exons. Lineage: Eukaryota; Metazoa; Chordata; Actinopteri; Spariformes; Sparidae.
AUGAGACUCAACAAUCAACUACCUCUGUGUCUUCAGGCUGUAGAACCAGCAGGAACACAUGAGGUCCAGGAUCAGAGAGUCUCUCACAGACAGCGGUCUGGUUCUUCCUCAGUGUUGAACUCAGUUGUUCCCAGUAUGAAGUUCCCCACUGAACUCCUCUGAGACCAGCUGUUCCCCAGCAGAACCACCCUCAGCUCAGACACUGCAGAGAAAAGGCAGAAAAGGACAAACACAGAUUUGCAUUUAUUCAGUUAUAGUUUCAUUGCUGUUCAGUUAUUUAUUGACAUAAUUUAACUUGGAAAUUCUGAAUUCAGAUGCUCUUUAAUAGCAGGAUGACACAGUUCAGUUUGACUCACUGUUAGGUGGCAGGAUUUCAUAACUGCUGCUGCGCUUCAGAGGAUGCAGAUCAUCUGUGAAUGUGAGGAAACAAUAUAUGUUUACUUAUUUACUUCUUUAAUCUGUCACUGACCUUCUUAUGACACUAACAUUGUCAGCAUUCAUGCAGUCCUCUAAAACUUUGGACCACUUCUGAAAUAACACAUGGAAAACGUCCAGAACCCAACGUAAUCUUAAAAGUGACCCAAGGAUGACUUGGACUCGAGAUUUGGGACUCAUAAAAACCUUUAUGUUUAAUCAACAUUAAGAAAAUGUCUGACUGUUUGCAAAAUGAAUAUUAAGGAUGCUGAUCGAUCACAUCAAACUCUAUCAGGUACCUGAUGUGUCGGUCACCUGGUCCUGUGAAAGUUACCUCAGCACCUGCUACAUGUUUAGUACAGUGUGUUUUGCUGAGUUUCGUUCCAAAACACAAACAUUUCUUUCAGGAAUAAAAGUCAGCUGAAAUAA